This is a long non-coding RNA of Girardinichthys multiradiatus, 9544 nucleotides long. RefSeq lists it as uncharacterized. Lineage: Eukaryota; Metazoa; Chordata; Actinopteri; Cyprinodontiformes; Goodeidae. The record is from RefSeq and is a predicted model, not a curated record. The transcript is spliced from 3 exons.
AACCUGGUUCACCAGUGCCUCUGUGUCAAUCUAUCUUGGCUGUACAGGGUCCUCGCUGCCAUCUGUUUGUUUUUCUUUCCAAUGGGAAGUAUUUCUGCUGCAGUGCCGAUGUAUUUAGCUGUGGCUCAUUCCUGGAUGGAGUCAUUAAUUGACCUACUGCAGAGGAUCUGUGUUCCAGUGUCCUACAUUAGAUUCCUCAAGGUAGCCACCUUUGAUGUAAGAUGGACAGGGAUUGACCCUGGACCUGGAGGUAGCAGUACACCUUAUCCCAGCUUCCUGUUUGGCUCUCGUUUGGAGAGUGCGCAAGUUGUCCUGCAUUACAUGCUACCAAGGCCAUAUCCACAACUGCGUGGGCCGGUUAUCUUUCUGCCCAUAAAAUAAGGUGCAAAUAGGAGACAUCUUUGUCCUUGGCCUUGAAGGAGACUUGGAUUGUAAAAUCUAAUAAAAGGUGUGAUCCUACUGAUCGCCGCCAUUUCAUCUGGAUCUGCACCACAAAUGAGAAAAGGAGGCUGUUGAAUGUCCAACAUCUUGUUUGAGUUAGACUCUAACCCUGGGGCAGGAAUGAGAGGAGGUAGUAGUGGGGGGGUUCUUUCUAUACCUACUCUUGUUUUCUCACAGAAAAAGGGGAAGGGUAUUACAGCUGACUCGCAUGUAAGGAUUUCGCAGUUUCAGCACUUCUGAUCUAGUCAUUGUGAACUCAAGUGAAAUCAUCCACAGAGCUUCUGUCCACGUGGUCCGAAGUGAUCAUUCAUCACUGUGCAAUGUCCAACUAAACAGCAUCAUUGCGUCCUGACGGUGGAAAAUCCAAUCUUUAUCUCUAACCUUUUUUAUCUGGCUGAUUGGGGCAAACCUUAACUGCUUUAUCAGGUGUAUGUGUUCUGUUUACGCUAACUAUCCUAUUGUUUCCCCUAAACAUACAAGCAAAAUACAGAAUAGAUUCAAGUUUUGUGAAGGAAACACUUGAGAAAGAAAUAUUAGGAACCUUAAAAAGACUUCUUAGUAAAUCUAAAAAAAAAAAACAUAUUACAGAUCCACAUCUCCUUAAAGCAAAAAUGUCUGACAUGAGAAGCUGAGUAUGCACGUUAUUGUAUGUUUUAACUGUUAUUUCAUUAAUGAAGUGCACAUUUUCUCUUAUGACAUUUAAAGAUGAUUCUUAUAUGAUUCACAGGAACCCAGAAUAGGAACCAGAUGAGUCAUUUAUUGCUGUCUGGCCUCAUUUUGGAGCAGUUUUCCAUAAGGUUCUUUCCAGCCACAAGCUUUUAUCUGCCAUGAAGGUUUGAAACAAAACGUGGAGCCUUUGAAUUCUCAAAGAGAAACUCAAAACUUUGUUGCUCUCAACAGACCAGAUAUGGAAAAGUUUUGUUUCUUGAAACUCAUGUUUGGAAAACAUCUGACAGAUUGCAGAUCUUUACAUCUGGUGGCAAUUAAUAGUUUUUUUUUAGCCGAAAACCUUUCGAAACUGAAAUUAAACCAAGCUUUUGCAGACUAGUAACCAUCUUUUGCAAUUGUUUAGCAAUGCUAGGCUAGUUCACUGCAGCUGAGUCAUGAAACAGUUUCAUAAGUUUGUGAUUUCCAUUCUCUGUGCUUCUAACUAACAUAUUAAAAUAGUCUUAAGAGCAUAGAAAGUUGUACAGCAUAAAAGAAGAAGAUAAUCUUUGAUAUAAUUUGACCAACUAAAUAAAUAAUGGGGAUUUUAUAGUCAGCAAGACAACUGAAAACAUACGUUAACACACUGGGAGAAGGUCAGUAAAACCAAAUACCGUAUGAUCAUAUAUUUCUCUAUCAAUUUCAUUUAAGUUCAGGUUAUUUAUGUAACAACAGUUCCCAACAAAUGUUCUCUUAAGCCACUUUACAAGACAAACAGGCUCCAUUCAUAUCCAGUCAUCCAGUAUCCAAUUAUAUCCAAAUUCAGUUCUAAUUCAUUCCAAUACAGUCAAAUCAUAUGGUAAGGUCCAUGUGUAGUUUCAGCCACAGAGGCAAGUUCUUACUGAGUCUGAGGCAAUUCUCUGGGGCAAGUAUGUGGCAACAGUGGAGUGGAACCAGUCACUUUGAACAGGAAGUAAACAUGAGCAGAACCAGGUUCAGUGUGAGCCUCACCAUCUGACACAACCAGUUGGAAGGUUGAGAGGACAGGAAGGAGACACAGAAAAAGCACAGAAUACUGAGCCAGGAGUACCUUCUAUAAAAAGAAAGGCAUGAGACAACAUACAUUUAGUGACAGCAAUAAUGUUGUCAAUGACUCCAACAAUAUUAUAGAUAAAACACAGAAGCAAUAGGCUAGGGAUACUUUCUAUGAACAUUUCAAAGUAAACAAUGUUAAUGGCAGUAAUAGCUUCAUCAUUUACUCCAUAAAGAAAGAUGCAGCUUGAAACAGGAGCAAUGCAGACCUUACCAAUGGCUAAAUUAGUACAGUCAUUGUCAGUCACAGUUCACGAAAAAGAGACAGUUAUACACAGAAGCAAUGAGUCAACAUGUACUUUCUAAAGGUAAAGUAAACAAAGAGUACACAAAAAUAAUGGUGCAAUUACUCCUCCAGUGGCUCUGUACGGCAAAGAGACAUCACUAAACAUAGAAGUGUUGACCCUGGAGUACUUUUUAAGGGAACAGAACAAAAAACAAGACAGUUCACAAGGUUACUGGCAGCAAUAGCUUUGGCAGUAAAUUUUUUAACAAAGAAACAGCCAGGUAUGCUUUCCACUGGAAAGGAAGACAGAUACACAUAUUUAAUGGCAUACUGCUGUCAAUAUUUUUAUCUAGGAAAGAGACACGGUUAAACACAGAAGCACUGGGCUAGUAGUACUUUCAACUGUAUAGAAAGAAAAAAGAGAGAGCAAAAAUUUAAAGGGAUCAAUAAUUGCAAAUAAUACAGAAAUUGAGAGGAGCUGCAGAAAAUAGCAGUGGUCGGCAAUUCCUCCAGCAGCCUAUACGUUUUGCAGCAUAAUUUUACACAUAGUUCAAGAUAACCAGAAGCCACUAUGACUAUGAGCUUUAUUAAAAAGGACAAUGUUAGGCCUAGUAUCAAAACUGAACACAGUCUCUGGCUCACAGAAAAGACUGGUAGCUGGUUCCAUGAUGCAAAUCAUCUAAACUGGACACCUUGGAUAAUAAUGUAACAAUUUCAGUUAAUUAGACUUAGAUUCUGACAGGUCUAUCCAUCACGACUAGUUUUCUUUAUCAUCAACAGUGAGUCUAGUAGGAACAAUUUCCCUCAUCUGUCAAAUCACGGAGCUGCAAAGACCACAAAUGAGAGGACAGCUGGAAUGAAAUAUUUCAAGCAACACACUGACACCAGCUCAAACUCCCAGAGGAAGGUCAUAUGUUGUUGCCAUAGCAAUGGGGAACACCAGCAGUAUGUUGAGAUGGUAGCCUGGAGGGGAGUCGGGGGUUGUCUGAACUGGAUCAAUGGCUAAAGAAUUUUAGUGGCCUGGUGCGGAUGUACGUUGAAUAAUAAAAUAUUCCCUCUGAAUAAAGCCAGAGUAGCUUUGCCACUAUUCAUUAUAGCACUCUGAUGUUCGGGACCCAUUAACAUCUGUUAAUGCUCAGUACGCAACGCGACAUAUCCGGCUCUCAGGACAGCGAGGGUAUUUUUAGACGUGCUCAUUAGUGCUGAGAGAUCAUUUGUAAUGAAGGACGGGUGGGGAGAAAGGAGGCUAGGAUCUCAGUGAAAGAUGGUAUCCAUACUCAAAUGUCUGUGGAGCGGGUGGAUUUAAACUGAGAGUGAAAAGAGCGAAGGUGAGAUGCGAGGAGCAGGCCGCUGGACGAGUCUGAGAAGGGCAGAGCAAUAAAGUGGCCAGAGCAAGGGCAAGGAUAUUAUGCAGCACAUUACCCAGUACGCUUCAAGCUCUAAUUCUAAAAUAUAGGCAACACAUGUAACCUCUCACUGAUUGCAUGUGCUAAUAGCUGGACUGAAUCUAUUGUUCCCACUGGGAUCAGCAUCCAGUCAGCCAUUAUUCAUAAAAACUCGUCAGUUCAAUUAGCAGAACGGUCGUAAUUCAGGAUCAUGCAUGUUAUCGAUUAAUGGACUUUCCUCUCUGAGAACUGUUCCAUUACUCCUCUCUGAAAUGAUGUACACAUCCUGAAGUCAACAUGCACCAUAUUUCCUGUUUGGGUCAGACAAUGCAGGUAUUGAAUUAUAAAACUGUUAUCUGUUCUUUUUUCUUUUCCAUAAUGGCAUUCUGAUUAAAUUUGCAGCAGAAGGGAGAGAGCCGUCUCUUUCUUCAGGUGGAGGUUAUAUUGGAUAAGAAUAUAGUGCUGUUGUCUUGCGAAGAGGACACAAAUACAGACCGCAUGGCAUACCAGCUUUUGCACUUCCCUCUUCUUUCAGCCACAACAGUGAUUUUUGUACCCCGAUUCAACAGUGCCCCCUAAUGGGUACACUGAAGGUUGCCAAAGUAACAAAGACUGUACCUCUCUGGAAGGCGAGGCUAGAAAUAAAAAAGUAAUUUAAAAAUAAAUACAUUUUUAAAUAAUUAUUUAGAUAUGUAUUAUUUAAAAAUUUUAAAAAAUGCAUAAAUGUAUCAGUUAUUUUAAAAUACAUCAGUUAUUGAAGAAGGUAGGAAUUAAAAGUGAACUUAUUCAUUGUAGGAUUUAUAAUUUAAAAUAUUCUAUAAUUAUUAGAGUAUUUAAUCAGUUAUUUCCUGUUUUAUUUGCUACAGUGCAACAUGAGAUAAUUAAAAUUCUCUCUUUAGUGCUUGAAAUAGAUCCAGACAUUUGUUUGGUUAACCUGCAUUGUAACUCCACAUUAGAGCAAUCAAAACUGAAACCCCAUCCACAGACUUUGAAAGAAAACGUAGGGAAAUAAAUACAAAAUAAAAAAAAUAAAAAAUAAAACUUAGUAAAAGUAAAAAGACAUUAUUUAUGUAAUUGUUUUGGAUUUUAAUCAAUCAUGGACACAUUUAAAAACCAAUUUGUGGAUUAUUUUCUGAUGAAUUGUGGUACGUUUGGACCUCCAAAGAGUUCAAAUGUUAUUUUCAGUGUAUAACAUAUAUAUAUAUAUAUAUAUGUGUAUUCUUAUCAUCACAUGUUGCCCUGAAUGGUAGGUAUUAUAUAAAUAUUUAGCUUAAAUAAAAGGAGAUAAAUGCAGGCAUUUUAAGCCAACCUUUGUGUUUCUUGGCCUUGUCCAUCUGAACUUGGGCUGUCAAAACAGGAAAACACAAACGAUUGAUAGGGAGACUUGUUUGCCAGAGUGUCUACCAAACAAUAGAAGGCUGAACAAUGAGAGCCAAGUUAAAACCUGCCUCCUCAUGGAAGCUGGCAAUGACGGCCAGUCUUUGUCUACAAAGGUAGACGACAGAUGGUAGAGAAAAGUUUAGGUCCUGAAAAAUAUACAUAAAUAACUAAAUAUUAUCACUAGGACUUAUUCUGCUUAUACUAAAUACAACUAUGGACCAGCAGUAGAAUCAUUGGACAAGGGACAGACCUGGUCCUAUAGAGGAGUGGCAAAAAGAAAGCCAUUGUUGAAAGAAAGCUUUUAAAUGUAUUGUUUGCAGUUUGCCACAAGCCAUACAUGGGAGACAGCACACCAGGAAGAAGAUGUUCUGGUCAGAUGAGACCGAAACUGAACUUUUAGGCCAAUGGGAAAAACGCUAUGUGUGGACAAAAGCUAACACUGCACAUCACCCUGAACAUCUUAUCCUCCACAGUGACACAUGGGAGAGACAGUAUCAUGCUGUGGAGAUGCUUCUCCUGAGAAGGGACAGGGAUCAGAGUUGAUGGGAAGAUGGAUGGAGCUAAAUACAGGGCAAUCCUUUAAAAAAUACCUGUUAGAAGCAGUAAAAUAUUUGAGACUGAGGCGGAGGUUUACCUUCCAGCAGGAAAAUGACCCUAAACAUACAUCUGGAGGCUACAGUGAAAUGGUUCAUAGCAAAGCGUAUUCAUGUGUUAGAAUGGCCCAGUCAAAGUCCAGACAUAAAUCCAACUAGCAAGACUUGAAAACUUAUGUUUGCGGGCACUCACCAUUCAAUCGGACUGACCUUUUAUUAAGGUUUGUUGAGGCUUAAGACCAAAGCGCAGGAGGUAGGAUUAUAGUUUCAAGACCUUUAAUAAUGAAACAAAAAAAAAAUCCAGGGGCCAAAGGAUAACUGGCAUGAUACUGAUGGGGCAACAGAGGAAUUGAACAAACAGUGACUAGACUAAGGAGUAUAAAUACUAAGGAGGGAGGGUGAUUGGUAAAGUGGAAACAAGUACUGUAAAUGAUUAAAUGGAUGGAUGACAGCUGGGAUGAUGCAUGAACCAUGGGACCGACUGAGGGGGUAAAUAUGACAGAAAACAAACACAGGAAACAAAAUCUAAACAGAACAUGACUUAAAACAAGUGAGCACCAAGAGCUUAAUAAUAAACCCAAUACAUAAUCAACCCAAAGUGACACAUAACUCAAGAAAAAUAUGACAAAACAGAACCACAAUUCUUCAUAUCUUCCUCUUAAUUAUGCACUACUAUGUGUUGGUCUAUCACAAAAAAAAUCCCGAUAAAACCCAUUUACAUUUGGGUUCAUUAUGUAACAAAAUGUGAAAACAGUCAAGGGGUAUGAAAGAUCUUUGCAUGAUACUGUGUCUAAUUAUGGCACAAUAUAAAUACAUUCUCCAUCAUAAACUCCACAGAUAGAUGUAGCAACCCAUUAAACUUUGCAAAAACAAACUCUAAUCUUUCUUCCCCAGAUACUGACUUGUUUUAUUACAGCCCAAAUUCUGAAAUACCCUGAGUAGCAUGCUCUAUUACGAAGCUGUCCAAAGAAGUUGCUGCUUUCACAAUUUCAGCCGCUUGAUUGUACAUCUUUCACCCAGCACUUCAAGGGCCUUGAGGUUUUAUCAGGCAUUGGCUGUCAGAAAGCAUCCUGCAUUCUGAUCGAAGCCGUUACAAGAACGGCCAGAUGUCAGGAAAUAAAAAUUAUCUGCAACACCCUGCAGCAACUCACAUUGUCUGAUGUCAUGCCUGUAAUAGCUGAUUGCAGCAUUUACUCUGGCAAGUGCGAUUCAGACCACAGGGUGUUGAUUUCUGGGAAAGGCAGCUCCGAAGGGUGGAAGUAGAGGGACAGAUGGCAACGCGGUGAACCAGUUCCUCUACGAGAAUUCACAGGCAUCAAGAAAUCAAGUUAAGAGAUGGCUCUCUGGGUAUAAUGCCACUAAUUUGGGUCUGAUGAAGAACACAGAAGCUGAUCUCCAGCAACAGGGACUUAACAGCCAUCCCUAACAGGAUUUCUGAGAAGCACAAUAAAUGUAAUUCAACUGUCUUCACCUCCACAGGGGAUUUUAAUAGUACAUCUUAUCAGUUUAUGGCAAGUACGGAAAGUUCUGUACUGUAUACAGGAGUUAUUGUUCUGUUUCUGAGCAUCAGUGGCAUCAAUACAAGCAUUGACACAACUGAGACUUUAUAAAGAACCAUGUGCUUUGAACAGAUGAGACUCAGAGUGACCUUUUCUGCAACUAACCAUCCAGGUGGCUCUGGCUUGAAACAACGGAGGAAUAUGUAGGAAAUUACAUUAUGCCCACUGUUAGGUAUGGUGGCGGACGUGUGAUGCUGUGGGUCUGUGUCUUUGCCAUUGGCCCUGGGAGCCUUGCCAUAAAAUACAAGGACAUUUUAAAUAAAAUUUGGUGACCACAGCCAGAAGACUCAAUAAUGGCAAAUCAACACAGAAAUAACAUAGGGUGUGUAUAAAUGUGGAGGGUGGUGUAAAUAUAGAAGGGGAUUGCACAAAAUCAAAACCUCUGGCUUUCAAAAACCUUCACUAAAGUUACCGUAGAGCUUACUCAAAAUGAACAGUAGAAACAUCUCUAUUGCUGAGGCAUGGCAGUGAUAUUAUCAUGAUUUGGGCUUAUGUUGCAGCAGGUUGUAGUAGAUUUCUAACUGAUUACAGGAAGAAAAGAUUCAUUGAACUAUCACAUGUAGGAAAGUAAAAGAUAACAAGAAGAUUUCUGUAACAGUAGAAUGAUCUUCAAAACACCUCCAAAAAAUACAAAAUCACAAAGAAACACAAGGCCAAGAGUUUGCUAUUGCUAUCAUAUUGUUCCAAAUUACCACUGAAAAAUUAGGAAUGCACUUCAAGAGCAAUUAUAAUCCUGAGGAAAUAGUGGGUAGCAUAUUUUAAAAAUAAUAAAAUUGUGUUUCUCUUGUUCAGAUGAGUGGUAGUAUCUUUCUUUAGAUUUUAGUUGGGGAUGGGAGCAGCAUCAGCAUAUGUCAGCAUGCCACUAAAUGCCCCUGACAUUCACACUGUUUGGUGGGAGUAAUCCCAGCUGUUAUAGUAUUUCAGAUUUUAUUUUCAGAUUUUAGCUAAAAUAUGCUCCACAGCAUGAAAAUAUACAGUGCUGUGAAAAAGUAGCUACCACUUUACAGAUUUCUUGUUUACAGCAGGUCAGCUCUAAAUUAUGCCCCACUUACGGCUCUACUUCCCAGCCUCUGUUCUCAAGCACUCUACUUUCUGUGGCUCCUCACUCAGCCAGCUUGAAAAUACUCAAGCAGUAUCAUUUUACCCUUUUUAUUUUCUGCUUAGGUCAUACAGACUGCCAUCUCCAAUUCUAUGGUGAUUGAUUAUCCAUAUGAUAUGUCACAGUUUUGAAAUAAGUCUGCUUUUUCAAGUAAUUAUUGUGGAAUUUAUGCUUAGAAUGUUUUUAUAUAUUUGUAAUGACAGUAUGUACUGUGUAUUGUAUGUUUAAUGUUAUAUUUUGUAGUUUCAAGGUUCUCAGAUCACGGUUGUGUCUCAGUAUAAAUUAUCUUGGCUUGAUAAUUGAUGAUUCUCUGGGUUUUUAUCCUCAUAUUCAACAGCUUGAAACAGAAUCAAAGCUGAAGCUGGGUUUUUAUUUUAGAAUUAGAUCUUGUUUGUCAUUGGAGGCUAGGAAAUGUCUUGUUGCUGCAACUUUUUUGCCCAUUUUAGAUUAUGGUGACAUAACUUACAUGCAUUUAUGUUCAUACUGGUUGCAUAAGCUAGAUUCUGUAUAUCAUGGAGCAUUACGUUUCAUCACUGGUCUAGGAGCCCUAACUCACCAUUGUCAUCUGUAUACCUGUGUUGGUUGGGCUGCCCUGUCCAGCCGUAGGUUUUGACACUGGUAUCAUUUUAUUUACAAAAGCCAUCUUGGAUUUACUCUCAUCGUAUCUAUUGUCUCUUAUUGUUAGGAAACAUCCAGGUGGUUAUUUUCUGUGCUCAGACAACUUGAUUUUAUUGACUGUGCCUAAGGUUUAUACUGAGAACGGCAACAAAUCUUUCCAGUUUGCUGCUUCCUCAGAUUGGAAUCAACUGCAGAAUGAUUUAAAGUUGAAAGAAUUUGUUUCCUUUAAUGUAUUUAAGGCCGCUCUUAAUCAGUUUGUACAUAAGGUAUUUUUUUGUAAAUGCUUUGAUUAAGAUGUAUUUUAGUCUUAUUUUUACUUUCACUUUCAUGGCUGUGUUUGUUUUAUUUUUUUUAUUAUCCAUAUUGUAUAUUAAUUGGUUUUGAUAUCUGUAGUUUUUGCUUUGUAAUUGUUGGUAUGUUGCUAUCGCGUUUGCCCAGGUCUCUCUUGCAAAAGAAAUUUGUAAUCUCAUUGAAUUAUACCUGAUUAAAUAAAGGUUACAUACAAG